GACGAACGCUGGCGACGUGCUUAACACAUGCAAGUCGAACGAGAUCCAUGUUGUAGCAAUACUUCGGAAGAUCUAGUGGCGAACGGGUGAGGAACACGUGAGGAGCCUGCCCCGGACUUCGGGAUAACAGUUGGAAACGAUUGCUAAUACCGAAUACCUCUGCGAAGUGGCAUCACUUUGCAAAGAAAGAAUUUCGGUCCGGGAGGGUCUCGCGGCCUAUCAGCUAGUUGGUGGGGUAACGGCCUACCAAGGCAUCGACGGGUAGCUGGUCUGAGAGGAUGAUCAGCCACACUGGGACUGAGACACGGCCCAGACUCCUACGGGAGGCAGCAGUGGGGAAUCUUGUGCAAUGGGCGAAAGCCUGACACAGCAACGCCGCGUGCGGGAAGAAGGCCUUCGGGUCGUAAACCGCUUUCAGCAGGAACGAAAAUGACGGUACCUGCAGAAGAAGGUGCGGCCAACUACGUGCCAGCAGCCGCAGUAA
RNAcentral lists this ribosomal RNA (484 nucleotides) under uncultured bacterium. RNAcentral's name for it is "partial 16S ribosomal RNA". It matches the Rfam family "Bacterial small subunit ribosomal RNA", at positions 28 to 523 of the family's 1533-position model. The record is from RNAcentral.